Molecule: small RNA, 24 nt
Filed under: Arabidopsis thaliana (thale cress)
Lineage: Eukaryota; Viridiplantae; Streptophyta; Magnoliopsida; Brassicales; Brassicaceae
Description: ATSL298890
Source: RNAcentral
UUUUUUUUCUCUUCUUCUCUAACA